This 484-nucleotide ribosomal RNA is filed under the name uncultured bacterium. Its description in RNAcentral is "bacterial SSU rRNA". It matches the Rfam family "Bacterial small subunit ribosomal RNA", at positions 30 to 507 of the family's 1533-position model. The record is from RNAcentral.
AUUGAACGCUGGCGGAAUGCUUUACACAUGCAAGUCGAACGGCAGCACGGACUUCGGUCUGGUGGCGAGUGGCGAACGGGUGAGUAAUACAUCGGAACGUGCCCAAUCGUGGGGGAUAACGUAGCGAAAGCUACGCUAAUACCGCAUACGAUCUAAGGAUGAAAGCGGGGGAUCGCAAGACCUCGCGCGACUGGAGCGGCCGACGGCAGAUUAGGUAGUUGGUAGGGUAAAGGCCUACCAAGCCGACGAUCUGUAGCUGGUCUGAGAGGAUGAUCAGCCACACUGGGACUGAGACACGGCCCAGACUCCUACGGGAGGCAGCAGUGGGGAAUUUUGGACAAUGGACGCAAGUCUGAUCCAGCCAUUCCGCGUGCAGGAUGAAGGCCCUCGGGUUGUAAACUGCUUUUGUACAGAACGAAAAGGUCCUGGUUAAUACCUGGGGCUCAUGACGGUACUGUAAGAAUAAGCACCGGCUAACUACGUG